UUGUAGAGUUUGAUCAUGGCUCAGAUUGAACGCUGGCGGCAGGCCUAACACAUGCAAGUCGAACGGUAACAGGAAGCAGCUUGCUGCUUUGCUGACGAGUGGCGGACGGGUGAGUAAUGUCUGGGAAACUGCCUGAUGGAGGGGGAUAACUACUGGAAACGGUGGCUAAUACCGCAUAACGUCGCAAGACCAAAGAGGGGGACCUUCGGGCCUCUUGCCAUCAGAUGUGCCCAGAUGGGAUUAGCUUGUUGGUGAGGUAACGGCUCACCAAGGCGACGAUCCCUAGCUGGUCUGAGAGGAUGACCAGCCACACUGGAACUGAGACACGGUCCAGACUCCUACGGGAGGCAGCAGUGGGGAAUAUUGCACAAUGGGCGCAAGCCUGAUGCAGCCAUGCCGCGUGUAUGAAGAAGGCCUUCGGGUUGUAAAGUACUUUCAGCGGGGAGGAAGGUGUUGCGGUUAAUAACCGCAGCAAUUGACGUUACCCGCAGAAGAAGCACCGGCUAACUCCGUGCCAGCAGCCGCGGUAAUACGGAGGGUGCAAGCGUUAAUCGGAAUUACUGGGCGUAAAGCGCACGCAGGCGGUCUGUCAAGUCGGAUGUGAAAUCCCCGGGCUCAACCUGGGAACUGCAUUCGAAACUGGCAGGCUUGAGUCUUGUAGAGGGGGGUAGAAUUCCAGGUGUAGCGGUGAAAUGCGUAGAGAUCUGGAGGAAUACCGGUGGCGAAGGCGGCCCCCUGGACAAAGACUGACGCUCAGGUGCGAAAGCGUGGGGAGCAAACAGGAUUAGAUACCCUGGUAGUCCACGCCGUAAACGAUGUCUACUUGGAGGUUGUGCCCUUGAGGCGUGGCUUCCGGAGCUAACGCGUUAAGUAGACCGCCUGGGGAGUACGGCCGCAAGGUUAAAACUCAAAUGAAUUGACGGGGGCCCGCACAAGCGGUGGAGCAUGUGGUUUAAUUCGAUGCAACGCGAAGAACCUUACCUGGUCUUGACAUCCACAGAACUUUCCAGAGAUGGAUUGGUGCCUUCGGGAACUGUGAGACAGGUGCUGCAUGGCUGUCGUCAGCUCGUGUUGUGAAAUGUUGGGUUAAGUCCCGCAACGAGCGCAACCCUUAUCCUUUGUUGCCAGCGAUUAGGUCGGGAACUCAAAGGAGACUGCCAGUGAUAAACUGGAGGAAGGUGGGGAUGACGUCAAGUCAUCAUGGCCCUUACGACCAGGGCUACACACGUGCUACAAUGGCGCAUACAAAGAGAAGCGACCUCGCGAGAGCAAGCGGACCUCAUAAAGUGCGUCGUAGUCCGGAUUGGAGUCUGCAACUCGACUCCAUGAAGUCGGAAUCGCUAGUAAUCGUGGAUCAGAAUGCCACGGUGAAUACGUUCCCGGGCCUUGUACACACCGCCCGUCACACCAUGGGAGUGGGUUGCAAAAGAAGUAGGUAGCUUAACCUUCGGGAGGGCGCUUACCACUUUGUGAUUCAUGACUGGGGUGAAGUCGUAACAAGGUAACCGUAGGGGAACCUGCGGUUGGAUCACCUCCUUACCUUAAAGAAGC
RNAcentral lists this ribosomal RNA (1551 nucleotides) under Salmonella enterica subsp. enterica serovar Typhimurium. RNAcentral's name for it is "bacterial SSU rRNA". It matches the Rfam family "Bacterial small subunit ribosomal RNA". The record is from RNAcentral. Lineage: Bacteria; Pseudomonadati; Pseudomonadota; Gammaproteobacteria; Enterobacterales; Enterobacteriaceae.